This 345-nucleotide unclassified non-coding RNA is filed under the name soil metagenome. RNAcentral describes it as "partial contains 5.8S ribosomal RNA, internal transcribed spacer 2, and large subunit ribosomal RNA". The stretch from base 1 to 120 matches the Rfam family "5.8S ribosomal RNA", at positions 35 to 154 of the family's 154-position model. The record is from RNAcentral.
GAUGAAGAACGCAGCGAAAUGCGAUAAGUAAUGUGAAUUGCAGAAUUCAGUGAAUCAUCGAAUCUUUGAACGCACAUUGCGCCCCCUGGUAUUCCGGGGGGCAUGCCUGUUCGAGCGUCAUUGCUGCCCUCAAGCACGGCUUGUGUGUUGGGCCUCCGUCCUCCUCCCGGGGGACGGGCCCGAAAGGCAGCGGCGGCACCGCGUCCGGUCCUCGAGCGUAUGGGGCUUCGUCACCCGCUCUUGUAGGCCCGGCCGGCGCUUGCCGACACAUCAAUCUUUUUUCCAGGUUGACCUCGGAUCAGGUAGGGAUACCCGCUGAACUUAAGCAUAUCAAUAAGCGGAGGA